AUGGUCCUUCGAGGUGCCGCCGCCGCCGCCCGACCUGCGCCUUCGCGCCACUUCGCGCCCUCGGGCGAGGCCGAGGGGGUGGGGACGACUACCGCAGCGCCGCCGGGGCUCGCGCUCCUCCGCGAAGCUCUCCUCGCGGGGCGGGCCGGCCGGCCGCACCCCCGGCCUGGGGCCUCCGGUCGUAGUAAAGCGCAGGCGGGCGGGGAGGCGGGAGCAGGAGCCCGCGGCCGGCCAGCCGAAGAUGGUGGCGGCUACUCCUCCUGUCAUACACGUGGACCUAACUGCACCAGUAGCUUUUCUGAGAAUACUUGCUGAAAAGGAAGUUUUCUGGAAUGGAAUAGUCAAGGAGAGCCUCUGGAGAAGAGCAUGCGGUCUGGAUUUGGAAGCCUCAGUUUGAUUUCUGGCUUUGUCACUUACCUUAGGCAUUCAAUAUAGGUGGCUUCCAGACAAUCUUUCCAUACUUGGUGGUUAGAGCAGAAGAGAUUCAUGAAGAGCACUGCCCUUUGAAACAAAAUCUCAUAUUCAGAAAACUGAUGCCAAACACCAAGUAGCAUGAUUUCACUCUGAAGCAGUGUUUCAGCCAUUGCCCUGGAAUGGUUUUAAAGCAAGUGAUAUACUGCUGAAAGUGCUGCCUUUGAUAUUAAAUGUUCAUUAAAAAUCU
RNAcentral lists this long non-coding RNA (661 nucleotides) under Homo sapiens (human). RNAcentral's name for it is "miR-17-92a-1 cluster host gene". Lineage: Eukaryota; Metazoa; Chordata; Mammalia; Primates; Hominidae. The record is from RNAcentral.